This 66-nucleotide transfer RNA is filed under the name Lautropia mirabilis. It matches the Rfam family "tRNA". From Rfam's summary of the family: Transfer RNA (tRNA) molecules are approximately 80 nucleotides in length. Their secondary structure includes four short double-helical elements and three loops (D, anti-codon, and T loops). RNAcentral also lists the same sequence under 1 other name. Lineage: Bacteria; Pseudomonadati; Pseudomonadota; Betaproteobacteria; Burkholderiales; Burkholderiaceae. The record is from RNAcentral.
UCGUUAGCUCAGUUGGUAGAGCAGCGGACUUUUAAUCCGUUGGUCGUAGGUUCGAGCCCUACACGA